AGAGUGCGUAAUAGCUCACUGGUCGAGUGACUCUGCGCCGAAAAUGUAACGGGGCUAAACACACCACCGAAGCUAUGGCUUGAUGCUUGCAUCAGGGGUAGGGGAGCGUUGAAUGCGGGUUGAAGGUGUACCGGAAGGAGCGCUGGACUGCAUUCAAGUGAGAAUGCCGGUAUGAGUAACGAAAAGAUCUGUGAGAAUCAGAUCCGCCGAAAGCCUAAGGGUUCCUGAGGAAGGUUCGUCCGCUCAGGGUAAGUCGGGACCUAAGGCGAGGCCGAUAGGCGUAGUCGAAGGACAACAGGUCGAAAUUCCUGUACCACCGUAAUCCGCUAUGAGCGAUGGGGUGACGCAGUAGGGUAGUGACGCGGACUGAUGGAUGUCCGUCUAAGCAGUGAGGCUGAUGUGUAGGCAAAUCCGCACAUCGUAAGGCUGGGCUGUGAUGGGGAGCGAAAAUUAUAGUAGCGAAGGUCAUGAUCUCAGACUGCCAAGAAAAGCCUCUAGCCAGGAGAAGGUGCCCGUACCGCAAACCGACACAGGUAGGCGAGAAGAGAAUUCUAAGGCGCGCGGAAGA
RNAcentral lists this ribosomal RNA (568 nucleotides) under Paenibacillus sp. ICGEB2008. RNAcentral describes it as "bacterial LSU rRNA". It matches the Rfam family "Bacterial large subunit ribosomal RNA", at positions 1127 to 1697 of the family's 2925-position model. The record is from RNAcentral. Lineage: Bacteria; Bacillati; Bacillota; Bacilli; Caryophanales; Paenibacillaceae.